This 75-nucleotide transfer RNA is filed under the name Candidatus Bathyarchaeota archaeon. RNAcentral describes it as "tRNA-Gly". It matches the Rfam family "tRNA". From Rfam's summary of the family: Transfer RNA (tRNA) molecules are approximately 80 nucleotides in length. Their secondary structure includes four short double-helical elements and three loops (D, anti-codon, and T loops). Further hydrogen bonds mediate the characteristic L-shaped molecular structure. tRNAs have two regions of fundamental functional importance: the anti-codon, which is responsible for specific mRNA codon recognition, and the 3' end, to which the tRNAs corresponding amino acid is attached (by aminoacyl-tRNA synthetases). tRNAs cope with the degeneracy of the genetic code in two manners: having more than one tRNA (with a specific anti-codon) for a particular amino acid; and 'wobble' base-pairing, i.e. permitting non-standard base-pairing at the 3rd anti-codon position. RNAcentral also lists the same sequence under 1 other name. The record is from RNAcentral. Lineage: Archaea; Thermoproteati; Candidatus Bathyarchaeota.
GCGGCCGUGGUCUAGCCUGGUCUAGGACCCCAGCCUCCCGAGCUGGUGACCCGGGUUCAAAUCCCGGCGGCCGCA